Molecule: long non-coding RNA, 3636 nt
Filed under: Triticum aestivum (bread wheat)
Lineage: Eukaryota; Viridiplantae; Streptophyta; Magnoliopsida; Poales; Poaceae
Description: long non-coding RNA (TAES_LNC023619)
Source: RNAcentral
GGACUUCUCAGUUUUAUUAAAUUGAACUGAUGUUUAAAUGUUCACCAUUUUUGGCCUACAGAUUAGAAUACUGAGAUCACCAUAUAUGCUGAAGGUCCCGACAGUACAGAGUUACAAACAAAUUCUAAACACCAUAUAUGCUGAAGGUCCCAUCAGUACAGAGUUACAGAACAAAUUAUUUGUCCAAUGACAACGUAAGAGUCACGACCAGCAAUCACAAACAACACUAGCUCGACCGCAGGCAUGUGUGUGCGGCAAGGGGAGGAGAUACUCUGAUGCUAGAUGUGUAGAGACAACAAGCUCAUCAUGCGUAGAAGACGAUAGACGACUCGCGUAGUAGGCCUUGAACUGCUCGCCUGAUGGCUAUGGAUCAUGCAAAAUCCUGACCAAAAGAUCACAUUAUUUUCACCAAACUAAUCUCUUGAACUUGCUCCACGACAAUCUUUGAACCUCCUACAAGAAAAGCCAUUAUUUUAAUGUUCAUACGAAUACCUACAAGCAAUGAUCACAAACAUUUAGCGAACAUUUCUUUUAAAGACUUAUGCAACAAUAAUUAGAACCAUAAAAAUAGGGUGAAACUAUGGUAACUAUAUUACAUAUCAUCUAGAUUCUAGCAAUAACCGUUUUGCAUGAUCAUUGGCAUUUGGAAUAGCAUCCAACAACAAUUAGAGUUCUAUAAGACCGCAUCUGUACUUAUUUUUGAAGAUGUAUUUGUACUGCCCAAAAGCAUAAGCUGAAGCACAAAAUAAACAUUUAAAUACAUUUGUGCUCACAGGAAUAAUCACACACCUAGAGAGCAUGUUCUUUUCACAUCUUCCCAACUACUCAAUUAGCAAAGCAGCACAUCUACACAUUUUAAUAGCAGGAGCAAAGAAAGAGAGAUUGAUAUGAGAGAGUGUCGUUGAAGCACGCUAAGGACUCCCAUCAGCGCUCAACUUGGACGGCUGCCAGCAACCAUGGUGGACGUGCCAGUGGUGGUGCGGCAUGGCCAGAGCAGGCCGCUGGCUGAUAUUCCAACACAUCAUGUUAGCGCACCAAGGAAAUAGCAAGUUUUCCAUAAAAAUGUUAUCCAUACUAGGUAAGACCAAAGCUACAGGACAAUACCUUUUCUUGAGCUAGCUACUACAUGUACUGACUCCUCCACCACUGUAGCAUCCCUGUAUCCUCCUUGCGCGGGCAACCACUAGGGAUCAAGCGAUGCUGCCGCUCGACACAUUUGAACCACCUGUAGGAAUCAAAGUGAACGGAAGGGAUUCAAACACAUCAAUGGACACAUGUACUACACAACAAUGUGCACCUGUACUGUCCAUGACAACAAACUAACAAAAAUUAAAUUUUCGUUCAACUAUUGCAGACUUUUGAGUAGUAGACGCACAACCUGACAAGGCAAUGUACAAGUUCAUGUGAAAAGAACAACCAAGUUAAUGUACAGUAACAUCAUAAGUUCAAAAAUAAAAAUAAAAAGAGUUUUGUACUGUUUUUUGCUAUAACAACUAAGUUAAUGUAUGCCAUGGGGCUGGACUAGGACAGCGUAUAUCCUUGAGUGGUGGAGAGGGAGAUCAUGUCACUACCAAAUCUAUCAGGGUACUAGAAAUUCAUGGAACAUAAGUAAAACCAAACUAAUUGAUUACAAGCACUCCUAUGAACAGAACUUAAAUUAGAAAUUGAGGUGAACUUAAAUAGUGAAAACAAGAGUGUUGCUGCUAGCUUUCCAAUCCUAGAACAACUUCUAGGAACGUGUGGGAAACAUGCAACAUGCCUGAACUUGGUGUGGAUUGGUAGUUGAACUUGCUACCCAUCCACACUAGUACCAGCGGCACAAGACCGAAGUAUUUAAGCAAUACCUGAUGGCAUCAAGAAAACAAGUGACUAAAACAUUUAGCAAUAAAAGCGAUGGUACAGGAAAAUUGAAGUGAUGUUUUUUUGUCAUUCCGACAAACCUCCAACAUGUUUUUUUGAACUGAUUUCUUUCUAUCAUUGUACUGUUGCUUUAGGCUUUUCGAAUGAGGUGAAAGCCUCUGGUCUAUUUGAACAUUUACUGAACAUUCAAAAAUGUUUUGAACUGAUGUGAAUCCUUUCACCGAACUACUAAUACAAAUUUUCAUGAACCUACCCAUUUAUACGAACAAGUUAUAUUUCUGCUAGGCAUUUGCGCACUUUUGUGCUAAGCAAAGAGAGAAAGAAAACAACCUGGAAAUGUUUCCUGCCGCCGCACGUCGACGGGGUGUGGAUAUGGAUGAACUGACUGACCCAUUUUUCUUGUACUGAAGCUUAUUUCCAGAAAUUUAAGACAAUGCAAAUAUUAUCUACAAUAUGGACAUUUAGUAUAGUCUGAACUAAACACGUUGGCACUUUUGAACUGAGGUAAUAGCUGUGAACCUGUGACGAAGAAUAGAACUCAAAAAGAAUUUUUUUGUAGGUGGAAUAAGACGUUGGAGAUCGGGUGGACUGGCUACACCUCCUCCUCUGGACUGAUUGCUCUGGUGAACUGGAGCUGAUGGAGGCGGAGAUCACGAGCACGCCGCGCUUUGGCGACUGCAGGGAAUCCCAGCGACUACCAAGUCAUCCCCGAGAAGCUUGUAGAGGCGGGGCAGUUGGUCACAGGUCAUCCCGUGUAAGUUCAACUACCAGGCGUGGUGGCGGAGAGAGGCUCUUGGCGGUGAUGUCCGGGAGGUGCCUCGCGGCGGUGAGGUGGAUGGCUGCGGGCACGGGCUAGGCGGCGACAGUGAGAGAGUGCCGUUGAUGCACGCAGAGGACUACCAUCAGCGCUCAACUUGGACGGCUGCCAGCAACCGUGGUGGACGGGCUGGUGGUGGUGCCUUAUUUUUUUGUAAAUCAAAGCUCCUACAUUAUGCUAUACUUCCAUGCAGUUCUUCACUCAAACAAUAUUGUAACAACCAACAUAAAAAUAGUUGAUCUGGACUUGAUCCACUAGCACCAACUUACUGGCUGAAUCAAAUUUUGUGAUUUGAAGCAGCAGCAAUAGUCGGACUAAGGGAGACAUGCAUGCGGUUAUAUAGUUGAACUUGCAUGAUCUGCAAAUAAGAGCAUGACUUAUGUACUUACUGGACAAUACCAUGUGAAACAGUAUAAUGCUAUGUGAACCUUUUUGAUGGACGGCUUUUAAUUUUUAUUCUCAGUACUUCUCAAAAAUGAAUAUCUGAACCACCAGACAGGGGUGUGGUAACCAAAAUUCAGAAGAGUAGAAACUCAAUAAGGCACCAUACUAAAAUAAGAAAAUGAACUGAACAGAAAAUAAGAAUUGCACUGAACUAAAAUCAGAAUUCGAACUGAGUGUCACAAAAGAUGAACUUGUGCAUCUGUUUUUUGCUCCCGCACCGGUGUAACAAAUUCAGGAUGACAUGGAUUUGUGUACAUAUAAUAAUAUGAAUCGAGUGAGACAAUAAAGAGAGCAGUAAAAGGAUUUCUUAUUUUCACCUUGAGAUGAUCUCUCUUUCUGGAGGUCUUGAUGGAAAAUGCUGGUGUAGGUACCACACAGACACCAACUAAACAUCAGGCCUUCUCCAAUAAGAAACAAUGAUCCCUCCUUCGAGUGUGUGAACUUAAUAACAGUAGUUGAAGUAAUAAUUUCAGUUUAAUCGUUUGAAGAACCAGCUCCAGUGUUUGAAUUAGUAC